RNAcentral lists this ribosomal RNA (976 nucleotides) under Plectonchus hunti. Its description in RNAcentral is "partial 28S ribosomal RNA". It matches the Rfam family "Eukaryotic large subunit ribosomal RNA", at positions 99 to 910 of the family's 3401-position model. The record is from RNAcentral. Lineage: Eukaryota; Metazoa; Nematoda; Chromadorea; Rhabditida; Panagrolaimidae.
CAGGAUGAGCCCAGCGCUGAAUCUCUUUGCUGUAAUGGUGAAGCGAACUGUAGCGUAUAGAGGYGAUUUUUUGCGGUUGCGUKCGGCUUAAGUUCCCCUUGACUGGGGUUCCAUAGAAGGUGUUAGGCCUGUUAAGCUGUGCAGCGUCCGUGAAUGAUCGUUUCUGGGAGUCGGGUUGUUUGGAAACACAGCCCUAAGCAGGUGGUAUACUCCAUCUAAGGCUAAAUAUUGCCAUAAGUCCGAUAGCGAACAAGUACUGUGAAGGAAAGUUGCAAAGAACUCUGAAGAGAGAGUUAAAAAGGACGUGAAACUGAUAAGGUGUAAGCGGAUAGAGUUGACGAACUAUACUCGUAAUCAGCCGGUUGGCUUGUGUGCGAUGUUCGAAUGUGUCGCCUUUCGGGGUGGAUGUUCGGAUAUGCGGUACGCGGUUGGCCGGUGCACUUGCGAGUGGUGCGCUGAUGCGAACGAUUGAGCCGCGGGAAACGCAUUAAGAGGGCACUUCGGUGUGUACUUGGUGCGUGAAUAACGGUUUCCCGAUUGUUCGGAUUUUGCGAGUGCUAACGGCCGUUGGUGGUUGCGUCGACGAGGUUUCGUGGGGAUCGCGUGCGAUUUCGCUUAAUUUCGGCGGCGUAACUGUUCGCGAAUGUUGGCACUUCAUCGGUGUAAAAGUCCACCACCUAUUCGUCCCGUCUUGAAACACGGACCAAGGAGUUUAACGUAUGCGCAAGUCAUUGGGUGUUCAAAACCUAAAGGCGUAAUGAAAGUAAAGGCUUCCGUUGGGUUGCUGAUAUGUGAUUUGUGUUUGCCACGGCAGCGCAAAGCAGCAUAGUCCAGUCUAAAUCGCUUGCGAUUGGGCUGAGAUAGAGCGUAUGCGUUGAGACCCGAAAGAUGGUGAACUAUGCCUGAGCAGGAUGAAGCCGGAGGAAACUCUGGUGGAAGUCCGAAGCGGUUCUGACGUGCAAAUCGAUCGUCUGAC